RNAcentral lists this ribosomal RNA (161 nucleotides) under Salmonella enterica subsp. enterica serovar Oranienburg. RNAcentral's name for it is "partial 23S ribosomal RNA". It matches the Rfam family "Bacterial large subunit ribosomal RNA", at positions 1 to 153 of the family's 2925-position model. RNAcentral also lists the same sequence under 2 other names. The record is from RNAcentral. Lineage: Bacteria; Pseudomonadati; Pseudomonadota; Gammaproteobacteria; Enterobacterales; Enterobacteriaceae.
GGGUUGUGAGGUUAAGCGACUAAGCGUACACGGUGGAUGCCCUGGCAGUCAGAGGCGAUGAAGGACGUGCUAAUCUGCGAUAAGCGCCGGUAAGGUGAUAUGAACCGUUAUAACCGGCGAUUUCCGAAUGGGGAAACCCAGUGUGACUCGUCACACUAUCA